GAAAAUGUAGACUUUAAAGAUAUGUAGUAGGACCAGUCUGCCAUUAAUAUCUCCUUCUACCAACCUUCCUCUCCUCUUUCACUACCCUACAUUUAACAUUUUCCUAUAACCACUGCUUUAGAUAAGUCAAAUUUAGCUCUUUGUUUUGAUCUCUGUUUCAAAAGAAAACACCUAUUAAGCAGCCAUCAUCUUUCUUAUCUUUUCCAAAACCAAAACUACUGACUUUUCUUGAAAAAAGAAGAGGUGGGGUGCUUUCUUUUCUUCAAAAACCUUCUCUUUGUUCUUGAAAAAACAGGACUCAUUCAUUUUUUUUUGUGUGUUUCUUUCAGAAGAAAUAACAAAGACCCUUUCUCUGUUUUCU
This 361-nucleotide unclassified non-coding RNA is filed under the name Hevea brasiliensis (rubber tree). The record is from RNAcentral. Lineage: Eukaryota; Viridiplantae; Streptophyta; Magnoliopsida; Malpighiales; Euphorbiaceae.